RNAcentral lists this ribosomal RNA (1019 nucleotides) under Conocybe teneroides. RNAcentral's name for it is "eukaryotic LSU rRNA". It matches the Rfam family "Eukaryotic large subunit ribosomal RNA", at positions 69 to 1076 of the family's 3401-position model. Lineage: Eukaryota; Fungi; Basidiomycota; Agaricomycetes; Agaricales; Bolbitiaceae. The record is from RNAcentral.
CAAGGAUUCCCCUAGUAACUGCGAGUGAAGCGGGAAAAGCUCAAAUUUAAAAUCUGGCAGCCUCCGGUUGUCCGAGUUGUAACCUAGAGAAGUGUUAUCCGUGUUGGACCGUGUUUAAGUCUCCUGGAAUGGAGCGUCAUAGAGGGUGAGAAUCCCGUCUUUGACACGGACCGCCAAUGCAUUGUGAUGCGCUCUCAAAGAGUCGAGUUGUUUGGGAAUGCAGCUCAAAAUGGGUGGUAAAUUCCAUCUAAAGCUAAAUAUUGGCGAGAGACCGAUAGCGAACAAGUACCGUGAGGGAAAGAUGAAAAGAACUUUGGAAAGAGAGUUAAACAGUACGUGAAAUUGCUGAAAGGGAAACGCUUGAAGUCAGUCGCGUUGGCCAGGAAUCAACCUUGCUUCUGCUGGGUGUACUUUCUGGUCGACGGGUCAGCAUCAAUUUUGGCCGUCGGAAAAAGUUCAGAGGAAUGUGGCAUCUUCGGAUGUGUUAUAGCCUUUGUUCGCAUACGACGGCUGGGAUUGAGGAGCUCAGCACGCCGCAAGGCCGGGUUUCGACCACGUACGUGCUUAGGAUGCUGGCAUAAUGGCUUUAAUCGACCCGUCUUGAAACACGGACCAAGGAGUCUAACAUGCCUGCGAGUGUUUGGGUGGAAAACCCGAGCGCGUAAUGAAAGUGAAAGUUGAGAUCCCUGUCGCGGGGAGCAUCGACGCCCGGACCAGACCUCUUGUGACGGUUCCGCGGUAGAGCAUGUAUGUUGGGACCCGAAAGAUGGUGAACUAUGCCUGAAUAGGGUGAAGCCAGAGGAAACUCUGGUGGAGGCUCGUAGCGAUUCUGACGUGCAAAUCGAUCGUCAAAUUUGGGUAUAGGGGCGAAAGACUAAUCGAACCAUCUAGUAGCUGGUUCCUGCCGAAGUUUCCCUCAGGAUAGCAGAAACUCAUUUCAGAUUUAUGUGGUAAAGCGAAUGAUUAGAGGCCUUGGGGUUGAAACAACCUUAACCUAUUCUCAAACUUUAAAUAUGUAA